UCCAGGGUAGCUCAAUGGUGGAGCACUCGGCUGUUAACCGAUAGGUUGUGGGUUCGAGUCCCACCCCUGGAGCCA
RNAcentral lists this transfer RNA (75 nucleotides) under Eubacteriales Family XIII. Incertae Sedis bacterium. RNAcentral describes it as "tRNA-Asn". It matches the Rfam family "tRNA". Rfam says of the family: Transfer RNA (tRNA) molecules are approximately 80 nucleotides in length. Their secondary structure includes four short double-helical elements and three loops (D, anti-codon, and T loops). Lineage: Bacteria; Bacillati; Bacillota; Clostridia; Peptostreptococcales; Anaerovoracaceae. The record is from RNAcentral.